This is a long non-coding RNA of Salvelinus sp. IW2-2015, 1159 nucleotides long. RefSeq lists it as uncharacterized. The record is from RefSeq and is a predicted model, not a curated record. Lineage: Eukaryota; Metazoa; Chordata; Actinopteri; Salmoniformes; Salmonidae.
UCAGUUAGGAUAUUAAUAAUGAGCAAUUAUGGUGCAGGGUUUUCCCCUCAAUGCACACCGUGUGUAUACACAAUAAAUUGAACGAAUAAUAUUUUAGUGUCCCGUUAUGCCUAUCAAAUGAAACGAGAGGGAGGGGCGACAGGCUUAAAUUAAAGCUAUAUAAAAUGCAAUAGCCUUGGCUACUAAAUACAUGUUUAAAGUCAGGGGGUUCAAAAACGUUGCUGUGGAAAUUCUAAAAUGUCUUGACAACAUGGUCUAACUGUACUUUUCCCUCAUUGAUUGCAAUACUUAUUGGCAGUGAUAUAUAUGUAGUCUAUUGAAAUAAUCGUAUUUGGAUUUAUUGAACACAUUUUCUUUUUUUCUCCUAUUGUCUUGUCGCUCGGAAUCAUCAUGUUUCCAUGGUAAUCUGACUGGCAAAACUGAUGUCAAAGCUUCAGGGAGAGGCGAGUAGUAGACUUGCACAAAGCUUUCAGCGCACGGUCAGCGUCUCAGCAGUGUAGUGUCAUUCGAACGCGGUAUGCAAAACUCCACGGAAUCUUGAGGAUGGUGAAUGAGAGAACUCAUUAUUGAGCGUACUAGAGCACAAAUGAUCUGUCAGUCGGCUAUCGCCUGCACUGUCGCCUGCAAUGUCGAACAAGCCCAAUGAGAAGGACAUGAUGCGGCGAUUCAAUUGUCAUAAGUGGAGACUGACUGCAAUGUAAGGCCAAAUCAUUCAGGGGAUCUACUAUGCUGAAGACACCCCUAGUUGACUGAUUGCGGAAGUUGCAUACUUUUGGCAUUAUGCACAACUUUUUGGAGGCUAAUUUGGAACCCAAGUGGUCACCAUUCUGCUUUUCUUCUCUGCUUUUCCAAGACACAUUAGCUGGACUGAAAUAUACUUUUACUGUAUUGAAGACCUAGUUCAAUAUAUGUUAUCUUGUGAAAUAUGUUGGAGAUGUUUAUUUAGUGAACUUAUAAGAUAAAGUUAAACCUUGAUGUGUUUUUGCCUUACUUUGCAAGCCAUAUUGGUUUGUGUAAGGAUCCAGAAAUAUUAUGCAUGAUAUGAUUUAUCAUUAGUGUGUAUGUCUGUCAUUUUGUCUUGCAUUCAUUUUGCAAGUUGCCAUAUUUCCAUUGUGAAGAUGUGUGGUAACAAAAGCACAGUAAAGAUGACCAUCUCCUA